This 71-nucleotide transfer RNA is filed under the name Planctomyces sp. Its description in RNAcentral is "tRNA-Gln". It matches the Rfam family "tRNA". From Rfam's summary of the family: Transfer RNA (tRNA) molecules are approximately 80 nucleotides in length. RNAcentral also lists the same sequence under 7 other names. The record is from RNAcentral. Lineage: Bacteria; Pseudomonadati; Planctomycetota; Planctomycetia; Planctomycetales; Planctomycetaceae.
UGGGGAUUGGUGUAACGGUAGCACGACUGACUCUGACUCAGUUAGUCUAGGUUCAAAUCCUAGAUCCCCAG